AGAGUUUGAUCCUGGCUCAGAUUGAACGCUGGCGGCAUGCCUUACACAUGCAAGUCGAACGGCAGCGCGGACUUCGGUCUGGCGGCGAGUGGCGAACGGGUGAGUAAUGCAUCGGAACGUACCUUUCAGUGGGGGAUAACGUAGCGAAAGUUACGCUAAUACCGCAUAUUCUGUGAGCAGGAAAGCAGGGGAUCGCAAGACCUUGCGCUGAUAGAGCGGCCGAUGUCAGAUUAGCUAGUUGGUGGGGUAAAGGCUCACCAAGGCGACGAUCUGUAGCGGGUCUUAGAGGAUGAUCCGCCACACUGGAACUGAGACACGGUCCAGACUCCUACGGGAGGCAGCAGUGGGGAAUUUUGGACAAUGGGCGCAAGCCUGAUCCAGCCAUGCCGCGUGAGUGAAGAAGGCCUUCGGGUUGUAAAGCUCUUUCGGCCGGGAAAAAAUCGCUUGGGUUAAUACCCUGAGUGGAUGAUGGUACCGGAAUAAGAAGCACCGGCUAACUACGUGCCAGCAGCCGCGGUAAUACGUAGGGUGCGAGCGUUAAUCGGAAUUACUGGGCGUAAAGCGUGCGCAGGCGGUUUUGUAAGACAGGCGUGAAAUCCCCGGGCUCAACCUGGGAACUGCGUUUGUGACUGCAAGGCUAGAGUAUGGCAGAGGGGGGUGGAAUUCCACGUGUAGCAGUGAAAUGCGUAGAGAUGUGGAGGAACACCAAUGGCGAAGGCAGCCCCCUGGGCCAAUACUGACGCUCAUGCACGAAAGCGUGGGGAGCAAACAGGAUUAGAUACCCUGGUAGUCCACGCCCUAAACGAUGUCAACUAGGUGUUGGGUGGGUAAAACCAUUUGGUACCGUAGCUAACGCGUGAAGUUGACCGCCUGGGGAGUACGGCCGCAAGGUUAAAACUCAAAGGAAUUGACGG
RNAcentral lists this ribosomal RNA (914 nucleotides) under uncultured bacterium. RNAcentral's name for it is "bacterial SSU rRNA". It matches the Rfam family "Bacterial small subunit ribosomal RNA", at positions 8 to 916 of the family's 1533-position model. The record is from RNAcentral.